Molecule: long non-coding RNA, 592 nt
Filed under: Sus scrofa (pig)
Lineage: Eukaryota; Metazoa; Chordata; Mammalia; Artiodactyla; Suidae
Description: lncRNA (ENSSSCG00005032143.1)
Source: RNAcentral
CUUUAGCUCUGGCUCUCAGAAGCUUGAGGUAGGAGGGGAGUGUGGACAUUUAGGGAAGAGGAAGAGCUUGUACUCCCAAGGCCUGGGGCCGAGAGGGGCCCUCAGGUUGCCCACUCUCACCUCUACCUGCAGACUCCCAGUCAAUGUUUGAGUUUCCCAGAUGGAGGAGGUGAGGCUUUGCAGUCCUGGGUCUGGCCAGUUCAUGCCCCUGGCCACCCACCCUCAGUGGCCUCCAAGUACACUGGGCACUAGGGCGGGACAGCAGGGCCGCAGGGUCACUGCUGCAGCUCAGAGACCGGGGCUGGGCGGUGGCAGGUGGUCCUCCUACACCAAUCCCAGGCUCUCCUCCUCUGCCAGGUUCAGUCCCUCAGACCUCCCUUGUGGGGCCCCAGAAAAUAAACUGCUCUUGGAGCCAAGGAUGAGGCCUCACCAGAGAGAACCAGCCCAGAGGCAGCCGCACAGCCUUCCUGGCCAGCACUUUGUCUGGCUGACCCCCUUUCAGGUAGGCCUGGCUGCAGAGCAGGAAGCCAGACGUUGCACAGCAGCCCCAGGAGGUGGGGAGAUAGGGCACCUCCCCAGGGAGGGGAAUUGA